CGGUCACAAUCGUCCUGCUGGUGUCAGGCUGCGCCACAGCCACGAUAAGUCAGUAUAACUAUUGGCCAGGAGGAAAAGGUCUAUAUAACAAUUAUAGGAACCGGCCUCAGCAAUCUUAUCCGACGUGGCGCUCGUAUGAUCCAUGUGACAAGGUGUAUUGCUACCCUAUCUACUGCCGGUAUGGACAAUACACACCGCAAGGCGAAUGCUGUCCACAGUGCACACCAGGUUCAUACAGGCCCGGAUCGUGGAAUAACGUGGGACAGCAAGGAAAUGCCGUGAGCGGGCUUGGAAAUAACGUUGGAUCGCAAGGAAAUUCGGUGAGCGGGGGAUGGAAUAACGUUGGAUCGCAAGGAAAUUCGGUGAGCGGGGGUUUAAAUAACGUUGGAUCGCAAGGAAAUGCCGUGAGCGGGGGAUGGAAUAACGUUGGGUCGCAAGGAAAUUCGGUGAGCGGGGGAUGGAAUAAUGUUGGAUCGCAAGGAAAUUCAGUGAGCGGGGGUUGGAAUAACGUUGGAUCGCAAGGAAACGCCGUGAGCGGGUGAUGGAAAAACGCGGGAUUGCAAUCGACGUACGUGAACUAAGUACAUAUAACAUGGAUCGCAGUAAACAAGGACAUGUACUGAAAAUGUGUGCCUUUGUAAAAAUACCGGUACUCAAUUAAUAUGUAUCAGCAACCAGUUAAAUCAUUUCUUAUUUAUUUAUACAGUAGACAUUACCACAAAUUAACUCUUUUAUGCCUAGUGGACUCUCUUAUCCUUCUAAAAUGAAUCAAUUUAUUUCCAAAAUUAGGGAUGUCUAGUAUAUUUAUUUCGAUAUUUAGAAUAUUUCUUACAGAAAUUCCUUUAAGCAAACAGCGCAGACCCUGAUGAGACGCCGCAUCAUGUUUGCCAAUGCCUU
Long non-coding RNA from Dreissena polymorpha, 897 nucleotides. RefSeq lists it as uncharacterized. The record is from RefSeq and is a predicted model, not a curated record. Lineage: Eukaryota; Metazoa; Mollusca; Bivalvia; Myida; Dreissenidae. The transcript is spliced from 3 exons.